GACGAACGCUGGCGGCGUGCUUAACACAUGCAAGUCGAACGAUGAACCCGGAGCUUGCUCCGGCGGAUUAGUGGCGAACGGGUGAGUAACACGUGAGUAACCUGCCCUUGACUCCGGGAUAACGGCGGGAAACUGUAGCUAAUACCGGAUACGACCCUCGGCCGCAUCGCCAGGGGGUGGAAAGAAUUUCGGGCAAGGAUGGACUCGCGGCCUAUCAGCUAGUUGGUGAGGUAACGGCUCACCAAGGCGACGAUCUUUAGCUGAUGUGAGAGCAUGAUCAGCCACACGGGCACUGAGACACGGGCCCGACUCCUACGGGAGGCAGCAGUGAGGAAUAUUGGUCAAUGGACGCAAGUCUGAACCAGCCAUGCCGCGUGAAGGAUGAAGGCGUUCUGCGUUGUAAACUUCUUUUAUCAGGGAAGAAACCACCGAUAUCUAUUGGUGUUGACGGUACCUGAGGAAUAAGCACCGGCUAACUCCGUGCCAGCAGCCGCAGUAA
This 499-nucleotide ribosomal RNA is filed under the name uncultured bacterium. RNAcentral describes it as "partial 16S ribosomal RNA". It matches the Rfam family "Bacterial small subunit ribosomal RNA", at positions 28 to 523 of the family's 1533-position model. The record is from RNAcentral.